RNAcentral lists this ribosomal RNA (492 nucleotides) under uncultured bacterium. Its description in RNAcentral is "partial 16S ribosomal RNA". It matches the Rfam family "Bacterial small subunit ribosomal RNA", at positions 29 to 507 of the family's 1533-position model. The record is from RNAcentral.
AGUGAACGCUGGCGGUAGGCCUAACACAUGCAAGUCGAACGGCAGCACAGUAAGAGCUUGCUCUUACGGGUGGCGAGUGGCGGACGGGUGAGGAAUACAUCGGAAUCUACUUUUUCGUGGGGGAUAACGUAGGGAAACUUACGCUAAUACCGCAUACGACCUACGGGUGAAAGCAGGGGAUCUUCGGACCUUGCGCGAUUGAAUGAGCCGAUGUCGGAUUAGCUAGUUGGCGGGGUAAAGGCCCACCAAGGCGACGAUCCGUAGCUGGUCUGAGAGGAUGAUCAGCCACACUGGAACUGAGACACGGUCCAGACUCCUACGGGAGGCAGCAGUGGGGAAUAUUGGACAGUGGGCGCAAGCCUGAUCCAGCCAUACCGCGUGGGUGAAGAAGGCCUUCGGGCUGUAAAGCCCUUUUGUUGGGAAAGAAAAGCAGCAGGUUAAUACCCCGCUGUUCUGACGGUACCCAAAGAAUAAGCACCGGCUAACUUCGUG